GAUGAAGAACGUAGCGAAAUGCGAUAAGUAAUGUGAAUUGCAGAAUUCAGUGAAUCAUCGAAUCUUUGAACGCACAUUGCGCCCGCCAGUAUUCUGGCGGGCAUGCCUGUCCGAGCGUCAUUUCAACCCUCGAACCCCUCCGGGGGGUCGGCGUUGGGGAUCGGCCCUUUACGGGGCCGGCCCCGAAAUACAGUGGCGGUCUCGCCGCAGCCUCUCCUGCGCAGUAGUUUGCACACUCGCAUCGGGAGCGCGGCGCGUCCACAGCCGUUAAACACCCCAAACUACUGAAAUGUUGACCUCGGAUCAGGUAGGAAUACCCGCUGAACUUAAGCAUAUCAAUAAGCGGAGGA
This 350-nucleotide unclassified non-coding RNA is filed under the name soil metagenome. RNAcentral describes it as "partial contains 5.8S ribosomal RNA, internal transcribed spacer 2, and large subunit ribosomal RNA". The stretch from base 1 to 120 matches the Rfam family "5.8S ribosomal RNA", at positions 35 to 154 of the family's 154-position model. The record is from RNAcentral.